UGGACAUAUCCAACAAUACCAAGAGCUUCGAUAGGAGAAAUCCCUUUUAGCCUAGCCUUUGGGAUGGAAGUAGUGAUUUUUAUUGAAAUUGAGGCCCCGUCAGCAUGAGUUGAGAACUAUGACAAGUUGAUUAACUAAAAAAGGCUACGUACUGAUCUAGAUCUAUUUGAGAAAAUUCGAGAAAGAGUGCGUAUUUGAAUGGUGGCUUAUCAGCACA
This 217-nucleotide long non-coding RNA is filed under the name Elaeis guineensis (African oil palm). RNAcentral describes it as "long non-coding RNA (EGUI_LNC010579)". Lineage: Eukaryota; Viridiplantae; Streptophyta; Magnoliopsida; Arecales; Arecaceae. The record is from RNAcentral.